GGCUCAGAGAGGCUGAAUGUCCUGCCCAAGGUUUUGCCCCUGCUUGCCCCGAUUCCAGGCUGCUUUGUCCUGGCUCAGUGGGGCUCUACUUUUCCUUCCUCCUGCCCUGAAGCCUGUGGCUCUGGCUUGUCCACCCGGAGCUGGGGGCCCUGCAGAAGCCCCCUCUCUCCCCUCAGCUUCUCUGCCCCCCUCCUCAGCCCCCCUAAGCUGCCUCUUGCCUUCCCAGCCUGAGUUGGCUGGGGAGCUUGUAAAACAGCCCCACCAGCAGGCUUAUCCUGAGCGGUGCUGAUGCGGGAGUUGGAGCAGGGCUGCGAAUCUUCUUUGGGACUCUGAUGAUCUGUCUGGUUGGAGAGUCACUGCAAGCCAAGAUGUGGCAUUGGCCAAUGGUGUUUCCCAGCUGCCUCAGGUAUGCCAUGAUCUCAUGCCUCAUGCUUGACAUGGGCAGGAUGAAGGAGGGAGGAAGGAGGCAGGGUGCAGGGAGGAAUCCUCUGCCUGGAGGAUGCCCACCGGGCUUCUCUGUGCUCGCCAGGCUUAUUGGUCCUGGAUCUUGGCCACCUUGGGGCAGGUGUGCAUCACUGGUGCAGAGGAAAUGCCUCCUCCUCCUCUGUCAACUCAGAUCCUCUGAGGCCCUGCUGGUGCCUCUCUCUGCUAGGACCCUUUCAGGGAUCAAGGCCAGGAGGGCAGCCCCCUGAGGGCAGCCCCCGCUGAGGCUCAGCGGGGUAAUGCCUACCCCAGCUGCCUCCUGUGAUGUGGGCGUGGCAGGCAAGCCCAGCACCCCAGGCUUUCUAGCCAGGUUCUGUAUUUUCCAGCAUUAGUUUUCCCUCCAGGGUCAAAUGAUAAGUUCUUAUAAGGUCUGAGGCUGUGUCAUCAUCUCCCUCUUCACCCCCAGCCCCCGAGAGCUGUGCACACAGCAGGUGCGUGAUCUGUGGUGUUGGCUGAGCAGUUUGGUGCGUUGGUCAGCAACUUCCUGCAGCUUCUCAGCCCAUGCAUAUCCUCAGUUCUGCAGUGCUGGGCUUGUGUAUAAUCCCGCCCAGACAUCUCCUGGAAUGGGGAACUUGGCGGGGGGCAGUGAGCCAAUGAGAAAGGGGUGUGUGUGCACGCACACACGAUGGGGGCAGAGAGUGAAGAGUUCUCAGAGACUCCACUUCGAGAGUUGGUGUGAAUCCUGGCUUGGGAGUUAGAGCUGGCUCGAGUCUCUGCUCUCUCACUUUUGUGCUGCUUAACCUGGAUAAGGCUUUUGCCCUCUCCGGUUGGGGUAUUGAUAGCCUUUGGUGACCUUGAAGACCAUUUUCAGUUCUGAGGGUGAUGGGUCUGUGGUUGGACCGGAACUCCAGGCCCACCCUGACACCUGAACACUGAGGUUUUUGUCCAAGAUUCCGGGGUCCCCUUUGCCCCUCUUUGGGGUGGCGGUGGCGGUGGGGAAAAAAAGAGAGAUCAGACUAUUACUGUGUCUAUGUAGAAAGAAGUAGACGUAAGAGACUCCAUUUUGUUCUGUACUAAGAAAAAUUCUUCUGCCUUAAAAAAAAAA
Molecule: long non-coding RNA, 1528 nt
Filed under: Homo sapiens (human)
Lineage: Eukaryota; Metazoa; Chordata; Mammalia; Primates; Hominidae
Description: non-protein coding lnc-TMIGD1-1:2
Source: RNAcentral